This 1530-nucleotide ribosomal RNA is filed under the name Escherichia coli UMEA 3292-1. RNAcentral's name for it is "bacterial SSU rRNA". It matches the Rfam family "Bacterial small subunit ribosomal RNA". The record is from RNAcentral. Lineage: Bacteria; Pseudomonadati; Pseudomonadota; Gammaproteobacteria; Enterobacterales; Enterobacteriaceae.
AGAGUUUGAUCAUGGCUCAGAUUGAACGCUGGCGGCAGGCCUAACACAUGCAAGUCGAACGGUAACAGGAAGAAGCUUGCUUCUUUGCUGACGAGUGGCGGACGGGUGAGUAAUGUCUGGGAAACUGCCUGAUGGAGGGGGAUAACUACUGGAAACGGUAGCUAAUACCGCAUAACGUCGCAAGACCAAAGAGGGGGACCUUCGGGCCUCUUGCCAUCGGAUGUGCCCAGAUGGGAUUAGCUUGUUGGUGGGGUAACGGCUCACCAAGGCGACGAUCCCUAGCUGGUCUGAGAGGAUGACCAGCCACACUGGAACUGAGACACGGUCCAGACUCCUACGGGAGGCAGCAGUGGGGAAUAUUGCACAAUGGGCGCAAGCCUGAUGCAGCCAUGCCGCGUGUAUGAAGAAGGCCUUCGGGUUGUAAAGUACUUUCAGCGGGGAGGAAGGGAGUAAAGUUAAUACCUUUGCUCAUUGACGUUACCCGCAGAAGAAGCACCGGCUAACUCCGUGCCAGCAGCCGCGGUAAUACGGAGGGUGCAAGCGUUAAUCGGAAUUACUGGGCGUAAAGCGCACGCAGGCGGUUUGUUAAGUCAGAUGUGAAAUCCCCGGGCUCAACCUGGGAACUGCAUCUGAUACUGGCAAGCUUGAGUCUCGUAGAGGGGGGUAGAAUUCCAGGUGUAGCGGUGAAAUGCGUAGAGAUCUGGAGGAAUACCGGUGGCGAAGGCGGCCCCCUGGACGAAGACUGACGCUCAGGUGCGAAAGCGUGGGGAGCAAACAGGAUUAGAUACCCUGGUAGUCCACGCCGUAAACGAUGUCGACUUGGAGGUUGUGCCCUUGAGGCGUGGCUUCCGGAGCUAACGCGUUAAGUCGACCGCCUGGGGAGUACGGCCGCAAGGUUAAAACUCAAAUGAAUUGACGGGGGCCCGCACAAGCGGUGGAGCAUGUGGUUUAAUUCGAUGCAACGCGAAGAACCUUACCUGGUCUUGACAUCCACGGAAGUUUUCAGAGAUGAAUUUGUGCCUUCGGGAACUGUGAGACAGGUGCUGCAUGGCUGUCGUCAGCUCGUGUUGUGAAAUGUUGGGUUAAGUCCCGCAACGAGCGCAACCCUUAUCCUUUGUUGCCAGCGGUCCGGCCGGGAACUCAAAGGAGACUGCCAGUGAUAAACUGGAGGAAGGUGGGGAUGACGUCAAGUCAUCAUGGCCCUUACGACCAGGGCUACACACGUGCUACAAUGGCGCAUACAAAGAGAAGCGACCUCGCGAGAGCAAGCGGACCUCAUAAAGUGCGUCGUAGUCCGGAUUGGAGUCUGCAACUCGACUCCAUGAAGUCGGAAUCGCUAGUAAUCGUGGAUCAGAAUGCCACGGUGAAUACGUUCCCGGGCCUUGUACACACCGCCCGUCACACCAUGGGAGUGGGUUGCAAAAGAAGUAGGUAGCUUAACCUUCGGGAGGGCGCUUACCACUUUGUGAUUCAUGACUGGGGUGAAGUCGUAACAAGGUAACCGUAGGGGAACCUGCGGUUGGAUCACCU